CCGGGGGUCGCAUAGCGGUCAAUUGCUCGAGGCUGUAAACCUCGCGGGUCUAUCCCUACGUAGGUUCGAUUCCUACCCCCCGGACCA
This 87-nucleotide transfer RNA is filed under the name candidate division WWE3 bacterium CG_4_10_14_0_2_um_filter_41_14. RNAcentral describes it as "tRNA-Tyr". It matches the Rfam family "tRNA". From Rfam's summary of the family: Transfer RNA (tRNA) molecules are approximately 80 nucleotides in length. Their secondary structure includes four short double-helical elements and three loops (D, anti-codon, and T loops). Further hydrogen bonds mediate the characteristic L-shaped molecular structure. tRNAs have two regions of fundamental functional importance: the anti-codon, which is responsible for specific mRNA codon recognition, and the 3' end, to which the tRNAs corresponding amino acid is attached (by aminoacyl-tRNA synthetases). tRNAs cope with the degeneracy of the genetic code in two manners: having more than one tRNA (with a specific anti-codon) for a particular amino acid; and 'wobble' base-pairing, i.e. permitting non-standard base-pairing at the 3rd anti-codon position. Lineage: Bacteria; candidate division WWE3. The record is from RNAcentral.